UAAAACAUGCUUUCUUUUCUCUUCACAUCCCCAUUCUACCAGAAGCCCACAGAACCAAUCCUUUCCAGAGCAGGAAACGGCAAGAAAGGAAUAUCACUGUUAUUUGAUCUGAUAAAGCAGAGUAUUUGCUUCUUUGAAAAGAAUUAACUGGAUGAUAAAAAGAAUCUUCAAUAAGAUUAAUUCUUGGAAAAAUCCAGUUUUCCUUCUUCUCCUUGCUUCAAUAUCAUAUUCUUUCAAGUAUGCUUCAGAUCCGCUUCCUCUGAGUUGGAUCUUAUUCCUUGAUGCUACAGACAAAAAGAAAAUAGGAUUUUCUUCAGCAUUAUCUUGCUGUUGUGAGAGAGAGAUCACAGAUCUCACCUAAGUUUUGUGAUUGAUUGACUUCUGAUGUAUUAAAACUAGCUUAUAUAAAGGUCACUACGUAUCUGUCCCAUCUUUUCAAAAAAAAUAAUAAUUUAUUUUUUACCCUUUUUGUUUAUUUUUGUAAAGAACUCAAGGCAGCAAAUAUCAUUAACUUUGUUAUAAAAAUACAUUUUUCAAAACUU
Molecule: long non-coding RNA, 542 nt
Organism: Pantherophis guttatus
Lineage: Eukaryota; Metazoa; Chordata; Lepidosauria; Squamata; Colubridae
Source: RefSeq, a predicted model, not a curated record